Molecule: long non-coding RNA, 954 nt
Organism: Wyeomyia smithii (pitcher-plant mosquito)
Lineage: Eukaryota; Metazoa; Arthropoda; Insecta; Diptera; Culicidae
Exons: 2
Source: RefSeq, a predicted model, not a curated record
GUUCCAGCGGGUGGUGUUAGGAUAGGCGAAGGCUCGCACCUUUUUCAGGAACGGCGUCGUGGCAGCCGCAAAUGGACAGUGGCUUCGUUCGUUGACCGGAUUCACCUUGCGUCGGACCAGAUAGUCACUGUAGACCAUGUGAGCGAAGGCCGGUCGGUCACGCACGUAAACGUAGUUCUUUUUGGCCACCGUCGUCAUCAGAAUUUCACUAUCGUUUUGAUUCGUUGCGAAUUCGACCAGAUGCUUGUCCACCAGAGUGUUGAGCGAGUUCAAGGCCUCAUCGCUCUAGACGACAGCAGGGACGGCAUGGAAUGGUUGAUUCUGUUAGAGGUGUGCGCAAAUACCCGAAGGUUAUAUUGUCGUGUUCAAAUCAUAUUGGUGUAAAUAUUUAUUCUGGCCUUCGGAAAAAGCUAGUCCAAAUAACUAACGAGUAAAGGAAACUCUACAUGUGACCUUGUCUACGGCUAGAGGCAUAAAUCAAGAAUUUUUACUAUUUGCUUCUUCGCGCUAAUCAUAGUAGGCUGUCGCAACCAUAAUUCGAUUAAUCAAAAAUUGAUCAUAUUCACACGAAAGGCGUCAAUUCCGGAGGAAGCUCACCAAGAGCACAAAUCAACACCAAUCACGACUGGCUCGGUACACCAACAUGGCAGGAGCGAUAAAUUAUUAACGACAGCGCUAGUUAACUUACGUUCUUGAUGGCGUACUCGACCGCAUUGCCACGGAUGGUGACGAACUGCUUCUCCUUGUGAAGUACGUCUUCGGCGUUGUUAAUCGGCAGCGUGAAUUUCGACAGCGUAAGGAAAGCGGUCAGAUUGGCCGUGUAGAAGGAGGUGAGCAGAGUUAUAAAUAUCCACCAAGUGGCAAAUAGGAUACGCGUCGAGUCUGAAAACCAUAUUUUCUUUUAGACGUACGGUUGCUUUUUUUCGAAAUCAUAAAUCAUAAAAAAAGAAUCUA